RNAcentral lists this ribosomal RNA (478 nucleotides) under uncultured bacterium. RNAcentral's name for it is "partial 16S ribosomal RNA". It matches the Rfam family "Bacterial small subunit ribosomal RNA", at positions 28 to 507 of the family's 1533-position model. The record is from RNAcentral.
GAUGAACGCUGGCGGCGUGCUUAACACAUGCAAGUCGAACGAGAAAUGUAGACGGAAACCUUCGGGCGGAAGCCUUCAUUUCGAGUGGCGGACGGGUGAGUAACGCGUGGGUAACCUGCCUCAUACAGGGGGAUAACAGUUUGAAACGACUGUUAAUACCGCAUAAGACCACAGCAUCGCAUGAUGCGGGGGUAAAAACUCCGGUGGUAUGAGAUGGACCCGCGUUCGAUUAGCCAGUUGGCGGGGUAACGGCCCACCAAAGCGACGAUCGAUAGCCGAUCUGAGAGGAUGACCGGCCACAUUGGGACUGAGACACGGCCCAAACUCCUACGGGAGGCAGCAGUGGGGAAUAUUGCACAAUGGGGGAAACCCUGAUGCAGCGACGCCGCGUGAGUGAAGAAGUACUUCGGUAUGUAAAGCUCUAUCAGCAGGGAAGAAAAUGACGGUACCUGAGUAAGAAGCCCCGGCUAACUACGUG